GGCAGUGGUAGUUCAGUGGUUAAGAUGGUGGACUACUGCUCAGAAGGAUAUGAGUUCAAAUCCCAGCACUGCUA
This is a non-coding RNA of Pangasianodon gigas (Mekong giant catfish), 74 nucleotides long. The record is from the annotation of a GenBank genome assembly. NCBI's taxonomy places the organism in Eukaryota, Metazoa, Chordata, Actinopteri, Siluriformes, Pangasiidae.